CCCCUUACCUGCCGGGUGCCCCCGGGGAGAGCCGUGGCAUGGCUGUGGGUCCUGUGCUCUCUGGGUGUCUGAGGGUUUGCUUUGGGAUCCCAAACCCUUUCCCCGUGCAGGGUUAUGAGGCAAAGACUGCUUUAACUUGGUUUUUUGGUGCUGCGUUAAUGCUUUUUGCUCGUUCUGUGUCCAUUUGCAGCCUCGCUCGUGGUUUCCCCUGGUGUGGAGGCGAGUUGUGCUUCCUGCUGGGAGAGAGAACAGCCUUGGGAAGCUGCUCCAUGACCCACAGCUGUGCUGAGCCCGGCAGUCUGUCCAGCACCCUUUCUGCUGUUGGGAGAGCACAAGGCAGGUGGAGAGGAUCCCCAGGCAUCUGCAGGCACAAGGGACUCAUACAACUGCGAUUUUCCUCCAGCCCUCGUGAAAGGGACUUCCAGGAUACUCUUGGGAAUGUACCAGCUCUCCUGCUGGAGCUUUUCUAUGGAAUAUUUGAACACAAAGGGUAAAACUAAAGUCAGGGAAUAACUCCUGUCAGCAGCAAGGCCCUGACUGAAGUGGCAGCUGCAGUUGUUCCUGUGGUGUGGGCCAGUGGAGCUGCAGGAGAGUGGAAGAGGGCAGAACCUGACGUGAAUGCAAGAACCUGCCAAGAAAACCAGUGGACAAGAUGAUUGAUUAGUGCAGGACCUGAGAGAAGCACCUUGAAUGACAACCUGGAGGAGUUUCCAGUAUUGGAUUUAAAAGAUGGCCUUUGCAUCUCCUUGAGCAAGGAAAGCCAAGAAAGCUUUGCUUUUGCAGGAGAAAAUGGGGCAAGCGGGCAGGAAGAAGAGAAGCCCCGUGACUCCUCCCUGAGCCCCAGACAGCCCAUGAACUGCCUUGCUGGGAAUGGUGGGACGGGCUGGACUCUGCAUUGCU
Molecule: long non-coding RNA, 900 nt
Organism: Manacus vitellinus (golden-collared manakin)
Lineage: Eukaryota; Metazoa; Chordata; Aves; Passeriformes; Pipridae
Exons: 4
Source: RefSeq, a predicted model, not a curated record